RNAcentral lists this small nucleolar RNA (115 nucleotides) under Globisporangium iwayamae DAOM BR242034. RNAcentral describes it as "small nucleolar RNA SNORD14". The record is from RNAcentral. Lineage: Eukaryota; Oomycota; Peronosporomycetes; Pythiales; Pythiaceae.
GCGCGGUGAUGAUGAAAUUAUCCCCUUAAACAUUCGCAGUGUUUUGCUGAUAGCUCUCGGCUCGCCGGCUGAGUACAGCUGCUUGAGGCCAAUUUUUCCUUGGAUGUCUGAGCGC